This 78-nucleotide transfer RNA is filed under the name Candidatus Bathyarchaeota archaeon. Its description in RNAcentral is "tRNA-Leu". It matches the Rfam family "tRNA". From Rfam's summary of the family: Transfer RNA (tRNA) molecules are approximately 80 nucleotides in length. Their secondary structure includes four short double-helical elements and three loops (D, anti-codon, and T loops). The record is from RNAcentral. Lineage: Archaea; Thermoproteati; Candidatus Bathyarchaeota.
GCGGUCGUGGUCUAGUCUGGUCUAGGACUCAGACACUAAAAGCCUGCUACCCGGGUUCAAAUCCCGGCGGCCGCACCA